UGGGGAAUAUUGCACAAUGGGCGCAAGCCUGAUGCAGCCAUGCCGCGUGUGUGAAGAAGGCCUUCGGGUUGUAAAGCACUUUCAGCGAGGAGGAAGGUGGUGGACUUAAUACGUUCAUCAAUUGACGUUACUCGCAGAAGAAGCACCGGCUAACUCCGUGCCAGCAGCCGCGGUAAUACGGAGGGUGCAAGCGUUAAUCGGAAUUACUGGGCGUAAAGCGCACGCAGGCGGUUUGUUAAGUCAGAUGUGAAAUCCCCGGGCUCAACCUGGGAACUGCAUUUGAAACUGGCAAGCUAGAGUCUCGUAGAGGGGGGUAGAAUUCCAGGUGUAGCGGUGAAAUGCGUAGAGAUCUGGAGGAAUACCGGUGGCGAAGGCGGCCCCCUGGACGAAGACUGACGCUCAGGUGCGAAAGCGUGGGGCAGCAAACAGGAUUAGAUACCCUGGUAGUCCACGCUGUAAACGAUGUCGAUUUGGAGGUUGUGCCCCUUGAGGCGUGGCUUCCGGAGCUAACGCGUUAAAUCGACCGCCUGGGGAGUACGGCCGCAAGGUUAAAACUCAAAUGAAUUG
RNAcentral lists this ribosomal RNA (567 nucleotides) under uncultured bacterium. Its description in RNAcentral is "partial 16S ribosomal RNA". It matches the Rfam family "Bacterial small subunit ribosomal RNA", at positions 355 to 912 of the family's 1533-position model. The record is from RNAcentral.